GGCCAUUAGCAUACCUCCUUGUGCUUCUCUGUGUGCUUCAGCAGCACCAGGCCUGGGCUGGCAGGGCAUUCAUCAAAACCAAAGGGCUCCAUUUUGUCCAAAAUGGCUACCCUUUCUUUGCAAAUGGGUUCAAUGCAUACUGGCUCAUGUGCAUUGCUUCAGACCCAUCACAGAGGAGCAAGGUCUCCACUGCCUUCCAGGAGGCCUC
RNAcentral lists this unclassified non-coding RNA (208 nucleotides) under Hevea brasiliensis (rubber tree). Lineage: Eukaryota; Viridiplantae; Streptophyta; Magnoliopsida; Malpighiales; Euphorbiaceae. The record is from RNAcentral.